This 273-nucleotide ribosomal RNA is filed under the name uncultured bacterium. RNAcentral's name for it is "partial 16S ribosomal RNA". It matches the Rfam family "Bacterial small subunit ribosomal RNA", at positions 523 to 796 of the family's 1533-position model. The record is from RNAcentral.
AUACGGAGGGUGCAAGCGUUAUUCGGAAUCACUGGGCGUAAAGGACGCGUAGGCGGGUUGGCAAGUCAGAUGUGAAAUCCUACAGCUUAACUGUAGAACUGCAUUUGAAACUGCUAACCUAGAGUAUGGGAGGGGGAGAUGGAAUUAGUGGUGUAGGGGUAAAAUCCGUAGAUAUCACUAGGAAUACCGAAAGCGAAGGCGAUCUCCUGGAACAUAACUGACGCUAAGGCGUAAAGCGUGGGGAGCAAACAGGAUUAGAAACCCCAGUAGUCC